GAUGAACGCUAGCGACAGGCCUAACACAUGCAAGUCGAGGGGCAGCACAAGGAGCAAUCUGAGGUGGCGACCGGCGCACGGGUGAGUAACACGUAUGCAACCUACCUGUAAGAGGGGGAUAACCCGUUGAAAGACGGACUAAUACCGCAUAAUACUGAAUAACCGCAUGGUUAAUCAGUUAAACAUUUAUGGCUUACAGAUGGGCAUGCGCAUGAUUAGCUAGUUGGUGAGGUAACGGCUCACCAAGGCAACGAUCAUUAGGGGUUCUGAGAGGAAGGUCCCCCACACUGGUACUGAGACACGGACCAGACUCCUACGGGAGGCAGCAGUGAGGAAUAUUGGUCAAUGGGCGAGAGCCUGAACCAGCCAAGUCGCGUGAAGGAUGAAGGUUUUAUGAAUUGUAAACUUCUUUUGCAGGGGAAUAAAGUGCGGUACGUGUACCGUUUUGUAUGUACUCUGCGAAUAAGGAUCGGCUAACUCCGUGCCAGCAGCCGC
This 495-nucleotide ribosomal RNA is filed under the name uncultured bacterium. RNAcentral's name for it is "bacterial SSU rRNA". It matches the Rfam family "Bacterial small subunit ribosomal RNA", at positions 28 to 518 of the family's 1533-position model. The record is from RNAcentral.